AUUGUCCAGCUGAAGCUUGGGAACGAGGAUUCAUAUUCCUUGACUUUCUAGGUUGCUGUGAAAAUGAACUACUCAUCGGUCUUUUCUUCCAAUUUCUAGUCUCAGCCUCUAUCUUUUUCUUUUCUUUAAGUAGUUCUUCAACCUUGCAAGCUCGAUCAACCAGUACUACCAUUUCUUUUAGUUCAAGGAUCCCGAAAAAUACUUUAAUGUCUUCGUUGAGCCCGUCUUCAAAUCGUCGGCGCAUCUUGGCUUCUGUAGGAACAUAUUCCCUGGCAUACUUACUC
Molecule: long non-coding RNA, 284 nt
Filed under: Gossypium barbadense (sea-island cotton)
Lineage: Eukaryota; Viridiplantae; Streptophyta; Magnoliopsida; Malvales; Malvaceae
Description: long non-coding RNA (GBAR_LNC005051)
Source: RNAcentral